CCGAGUGCCGCGGCUCGUUGCGGGGCCGGGGGGACCCGCGGGCAGGCGGUCGGGGGCGGCCGCCGUCCCGAGGGGUUCACCUCGGCCCCGGCCCCGCCGCCACCCAGGACCAAAGGGCUUUCAGAUGUUUAUGUCUAGUGGCAACUCGUAUCAUAAACACUUGCUUCCAGCAUCAUGACUACACAAUCUGAGUAAGCCUGCAAUCCAGCAAGGUCGCUCAGACUUGGUGCUUCUCCACAUGCCACACAAGUAUGUUUGCAUAGGUGGAAUUUCCACUCCGCCAGCAAGCAGACUGCUACCCUGGGAAGAGAUGUCUGUUUGUCUUUGUACAGCAAACACUGGCUAUGUUGUGCAGCUCAAGUUUCUGAUUUGAACGAUUUCCUGAAUUCAUUCUGCUUCAUACCUCAGGGAAGAAAAAGUGGUUUUAUUUCUCCUGGGGAACAUUAAGAAGCAUUUCCCUGGCUGGGGAUGUGGAUUCUCCAUUCUGAGGAAAUCUGGGUCAUUGGAUGUCUCCUGCACAGAGAACACUUCGGUUGUU
Molecule: long non-coding RNA, 538 nt
Organism: Lagopus muta (rock ptarmigan)
Lineage: Eukaryota; Metazoa; Chordata; Aves; Galliformes; Phasianidae
Exons: 4
Source: RefSeq, a predicted model, not a curated record